This 464-nucleotide ribosomal RNA is filed under the name uncultured bacterium. Its description in RNAcentral is "bacterial SSU rRNA". It matches the Rfam family "Bacterial small subunit ribosomal RNA", at positions 917 to 1382 of the family's 1533-position model. The record is from RNAcentral.
GGGCCCGCACAAGCAGUGGAGUAUGUGGUUUAAUUCGAAGCAACGCGAAGAACCUUACCAGGGCUUGACAUCCCUUUGAAGGGAUUAGAGAUAAUCCUGCCCUUCGGGGCAGAGGAGACAGGUGGUGCAUGGUUGUCGUCAGCUCGUGUCGUGAGAUGUUGGGUUAAGUCCCGCAACGAGCGCAACCCUUGUUGUUAGUUGCCAGCAUGUAAGGUGGGCACUCUAACAAGACUGCCGGUGAGAAAUCGGAGGAAGGUGGGGAUGACGUCAAAUCAUCAUGCCCCUUAUGUCCUGGGCGACACACGUACUACAAUGGCGACUACAGAGGGAGGCAAAACCGCGAGGCAGAGCAAAUCCCAAAAAGUCGUCCCAGUUCAGAUUGCAGGCUGCAACUCGCCUGUAUGAAGUCGGAAUUGCUAGUAAUGGCAGGUCAGCAUACUGCCGUGAAUACGUUCCCGGGCCUU